GUGCAGCAGGCGCGAAAACUUCACACUGUGCGAAAGCACGAUGAGGGAAUCCCAAGUGCUUGCACGUAAGUGUAAGCUGUUUCUCUGUUUAAAACGCAGAGAGAGUAAGGGCUGGGGUAAGACGGGUGCCAGCCGCCGCGGUAAUACCUGCAGCUCGAAGUGGUGACCGUUAGUUAUUGGGGCCUAAAACGUCCGUAGCCGGUUUAAUAAAUGCCUGGGUAAAUCGUGUAGCUUAACUAUACGAAUUCCGGGUAGACUGUUAAACUCGAGACCGGGAGAAGUUAGAGGUACUCCUGGGGUAGAGGU
Molecule: ribosomal RNA, 306 nt
Filed under: uncultured microorganism
Description: bacterial SSU rRNA
Rfam family: Archaeal small subunit ribosomal RNA
Source: RNAcentral